RNAcentral lists this unclassified non-coding RNA (1412 nucleotides) under uncultured fungus. RNAcentral's name for it is "sequence contains 18S rRNA gene, ITS1, 5.8S rRNA gene, ITS2, 28S rRNA gene". The stretch from base 569 to 1412 matches the Rfam family "Eukaryotic large subunit ribosomal RNA", at positions 1 to 961 of the family's 3401-position model. The record is from RNAcentral. Lineage: Eukaryota; Fungi.
GGAAGGAUCAUUCCAAACUAAAACCGCAAACAUACCUUUGAAAAAAGUGAUGUUUUGCACCUCAAUCUACACGCUCAUAUUUUUCUACUCUACAUUUUCCCUUUUUCAGAUGUACUUCUGAAGACCUUUAUUUGACCCAAAAGCCUAAAAUUUUAGGAUCAUGACGGUGGAUACAUUGGUUUCUGGAACGAUGAAGAACGUAGCGAAACGCGAUAUUUAAUGCGAAUUGCAGAAUUCAGUGAAUCAUCAAGUUUUCGAACGCAGCUUGCAAUCAUUGGUUAUUCCUUUGAUUGUGCUUUCUUGACAUGCACGCUCAAUCAAAACUGUAGAUUUCUUGUCUUCUGGAUGAGAAGUCACACAGUGUCUGAAUCUUGAUGAACUAGGUUGUUCAGACCUAGUCUUCAAAAGACAGCGAGCUCGUUGCUUCAUUGAUUUGGGAUGCUGGAAUAUGCUCUCUCAGUUGCAGAUUGUUCAAACUUUUUGCAAAAGUGAGUUGAUUUCGUAUCCUUGAGUCGGUGGUGUCGCUAGAGCUAAAGUGCACAUUGUGUGCUCAAAUGACAAACAAUUGUUGUGUCAAGCAAAGCACGGAGACCCCCUGAAUUUAAGCAUAUAACUAAGGGGAGGAAAGCAAACUAAAAAGGAUUCUCAUAGUAACUGCGAGUGAACUGAGAAAAGCUCAAGUCUGUAAUCCUCUUGGUUCAUCCAAGAAGACAUGUGGCUUGUGGAGACAUGUCCAGAGUGUGGCCCAGGUCUAAGUUCACUGAAAAGUGAUGCGAAGCAGGGUGAUAGCCCCGUUCACGGCUUGGAGUUCGCCUCGUACGGACUGUUUUCUGAGAGUCGGAUUGCUUGGGAGUGCAAUCUCAAUGGGAGGUAAAUUCCUUCCAAGGCUAAAUAUUUCCAGAAAACCGAUAGCACACAAGUACCGCGAGGGAAAUGUGAAAAGCACUUUGAAAAGAGAGUUAAAAGUAUUUGAAACCGCCAUGGUUAAGCAAUGGGAUUUGUUGGUUCACGUGGUAUGUUAUGCUGGCACGAAUGUGCAUAAGGAUUGCAUCGAAUUGUGGUCUUCGGGUCUGUCAUGCGGUCCUUGGUGGCAGACGUGUCGUGUGUAACAUGCCAUGAGUACGGGCAUUGAAAUCCCGAAUGCGAAAUGAAAGUGUAGGUGAGGAUUCAUCUUUACUGUGAUGUUCAUCCGUGCAUGUUGCGGAGUCAGCAUCGCCCGGCUUCUUCCUUUGUGAGAGGUUCGAGCUAGAGCACAGUCGAUACGACCCGAAAGAUGGUGAGCUAUACCUGCGCAGGGUGAAGCCAGGGGAAACUCUGGUGGAAGCUCGUAGCGGUACUGACGUGCAAAUCGUUCGUCUGACGUGGGUAUAGGGGCGAAAGACCUAUCGAACCAUCUAGUAGCUGGUUCCCUC